RNAcentral lists this ribosomal RNA (251 nucleotides) under uncultured bacterium. RNAcentral's name for it is "partial 16S ribosomal RNA". It matches the Rfam family "Bacterial small subunit ribosomal RNA", at positions 525 to 775 of the family's 1533-position model. The record is from RNAcentral.
GCGGAGGGUGCGAGCGUUAAUCGGAAUCACUGGGCGUAAAGCGCGCGUAGGCGGCUUUGUAAGUCAGGGGUGAAAUCCCACCGCUCACCGGUGGAACUGCCUUUGAUACUGGAUGGCUUGAGUGAGUGAGAGGAUAGUGGAAUUCCUGGUGUAGGAGUGAAAUCCGUAGAGAUCAGGAGGAACAUCAGUGGCGAAGGCGACUAUCUGGCACUAUACUGACGCUGAGGUGCGAAAGCGUGGGUAUCAAACAG